Molecule: unclassified non-coding RNA, 368 nt
Filed under: Chytridiomycota sp.
Lineage: Eukaryota; Fungi; Chytridiomycota
Description: partial contains small subunit ribosomal RNA, internal transcribed spacer 1, and 5.8S ribosomal RNA
Rfam family: Eukaryotic small subunit ribosomal RNA (bases 1-47)
Source: RNAcentral
AAAGUCGUAACAAGGUAACCGUAGGUGAACCUGCGGUUGGAUCAUUAACAAAUGUUUGGUCUCGUGCCAAAUUCACACCUGUGUGCACCAUUGUCUGUAUUUGGUAGCUCGAGCGCGUUCUGGGGAGUCUCAACAGCUCCCAACAUAGGAACGCCUACCCCCGUGGGUAUCAUAUUCCCGGAAAGUGACGGGUCACGGGCCCGUGGUUAACGCCACGCGACCGCCGGAUCUGGAUGGGAAUCCGCUCGGGUUGGGCUACCGCCAUUUUUAUGAACCAACACAUCUGUCUUUUUCUGCCUGAACGAAGAGUUAAUCUUUGGUGAUUAAUGAUUUGAAAACAACUUUUGACAACGGAUCUCUUGGCUCUC